Solanum dulcamara is the source of this 362-nucleotide long non-coding RNA. RefSeq lists it as uncharacterized. Lineage: Eukaryota; Viridiplantae; Streptophyta; Magnoliopsida; Solanales; Solanaceae. The transcript is spliced from 2 exons. The record is from RefSeq and is a predicted model, not a curated record.
AAUAAUGUCAUUUCUCCAUCUUCUCCCUUGUUAUAUUCGUUUUUGUUGAAGUUUGAAUCGCCAUGUUCAGCUUCAGUUUGCUAUAUCUGGAUUUUUGUAGAUUUCUCCAUGUUAUGAUGAUGUUUCUCUCCUUGGUACGUCGUUGAAUUUCCUUUUCUGGAGAACGCAUAUCCAUCUGAUUUUAAAUUUGACGUUGCUAAACCUCUGAACUCAUCUUUUGCUUUAUGAAUCGUAUUAUUCCUGUGUAUAGAUAGACAAGCUAUAGAUUUGUAAAUGUAAUAAGUCUGUGACUUCUCUAUUUCUCCAGGAUUGUUGACACUGGUUCUGUAUUCAUUAAAUGUUGAUGCCUUCUCCUUGCCUUC